This 2211-nucleotide long non-coding RNA is filed under the name Bemisia tabaci. RNAcentral describes it as "lncRNA ENSSWEETPG011160". Lineage: Eukaryota; Metazoa; Arthropoda; Insecta; Hemiptera; Aleyrodidae. The record is from RNAcentral.
UACCAUAAUUUUGUGUGUUAGAGCUAGUUUUUUCGCGAAACUGUAAUACGGAACCAUAAAUCCCUACAUGACCUGUUCUAGGUGUUAAUGACCCAGUUUUGUUUAAACACUUUUAAAUAAAUGUAUAAAGCAACAAUGACAACAUUGUUUUAACACCGGGGCGCUGCAGAUGAUGAGUCUGAGAGGGUUGAGAGUGUAAAUAUAUCAAGUCCAGUCGUCAGCGACUAUUUGAAUGUGAGAAAACCAUUGGUUUCAUGCCUAUCCUCCUCUUCAUUCCAUUUGUCUUCAACUGGCGUGUCUCACAAGAAUCUAAAAACAUUUUUACUUGAACUUGGAUACUGUUUUGUAGCAACCGUGUAAUUCUUGCAUCGUGCGUUGCCUGGAUCUCAACAGCGAUCCAUUUGAAAAGUAAAAAUAAUAUAAGGUAAAAGUAAUUUCAUCUCAUUUUCCCUACAAUGUACAUCUGCGUGCAGCGUGCAUGCGGAAGAAGCAACAAUACAUAAAUAAAACAUCUAAAAAAAUUGUCGUGCAAAUAUUGCAGCUUAAUAUAACAUUCUGUCGAUUCCCCGAUUUUGCGAAACUUGCAAUAAAGGUCUAUGCAUUUGCAUAUUUUGAUUUGCCAUAUCUGCGAAACGGACGCAAGUUCCGCAAAAAAUUGGUUCUGCAAAUCAGAGAAACGCAUUGCUUGCCUUGCUAAUGUUCCGCAGAAGCGAUUUUUUUCAAUCUGUACAACCCAAGUACUUUUGAAAAAUUCGACGAAGGAAAAUUGUAAUUUUAUCUUAAUCGUAAUAAUAACACAAUAAUAUUCCAAUAAUAUUGUGUUAUACAGUUGCAAUUCAAUCGUGGGAGUAAUUACAGGAACGUUCCAAGUCUAUUCACAUUUUUGGACGAUAACUGCAUUUAAAGUGCGUACAAAAGCAAUUAAAUAGAAUUGUGCCAGAUGAUUGAUAUACGUGUUGCCCUGCUAGCCGAGAGUUUUCAAGCGAGUGUAAAAAUUUAGGUAUUAGUUAAUAUUUAUUUCCAUUUUACUUCAAAGUUUGGCAAAGGAAAAUUGCAAAGGAGUUGCGACGAUUGUGCGAUAUUCUUGCAAUCUCGAUGCAACCUUUUGUUGCAAAAUUCAACUUGAGAAUUGCAAGAAUACCACCGCGUGCUGUUUAGUAAGUUUUUUCUUUCCGCGUUGCAAAUAUUUUACGUACAAAAAAUAUUUUCCUCCUCCUCUUCGACCAAUAGUAAUUAUUCCAGUCGUCAUCUUAUCUUUUCUAGUUGAAGCAGUUCAGUUUUAUACCACCACUAAUAGUUGCAGUCACUGACGGACGAAAUUUUGUCUUGCAUCUUCAUGCCGUCGAAAGCCUUGUACUUUGUAUAAGGACGUCUGUCGAACAGGAGAAGUCUUAUAGGAGAUGUGCAAUUGGCAUCAUCAUAGACGCGAAUGCACUCAGCGUCUGCUUGUACGGACGAAGCCUGAUUGUCUAACUCCGGGCACAUUGGUUGGCAGCCCUUCAACGGUAUGGUGCAUCUCUUCCCUGAAAACUCCCUUCUCUCGAAAAAUGUAACGGAAUUAUUGGUAUUGCAGUCUCUGAAGGAGGAGAUCGUGUCUUGAAGAUGCGUUCUAUGAAAUCCAUGUGUAAUAUGCCAGUAGGUUUAACAUAACCCAAAUAUACACCGCAGUUAGGCUCUCUGUACAUCUUUAAGCAGACGAAGUUUCCAUUCACGGACGAGGCUUGGUUAUCCAACUCCGGGCACAUCUGUGUGCAACCUCUCACCGGCAGAGUGCACCUUUUCCCAUGAUACCUCAAGUCAUGGUAAAAUGUGGCCGUAUUGUUGUCACAGUCCGCGAUGGAAGAGAUACUAUCUUGAUAAGUAUAGUCGGCGAAAUUGUCGUUGGCGUUUUUCCAAAGAUUUAGCGAGCCCAUGUAACCUUGGCAGUUGGGCUCGUUGAACAGUUUGACGCAGGUAGCGGUUCCCUCCGCGGACGAAGCUCGGUUGUCCAGUUCGGGACACAUCGGUCUGCAGCCACUCACCGGUAUGUUGCAGAACUUCCCUCCGAAAUUCUUAUGCUCGUAGAAUGUCAUGGUAUUCGCCGGCUGUAAAACGAAAAUGGGCAUUAGUUGUAUACCGUGCAGUAGUUCCCGGUCAAUGUUUCGCAACAGGCCCUGCAUUUUUGGUUUAACUCUUUUACGGCUCCCAAAAUGUAGACAUCAAAUGGGCCAA